CCUACGGGUGGCAGCAGUGGGGAAUAUUGCACAAUGGGGGAAACCCUGAUGCAGCGACGCCGCGUGAGUGAAGAAGUAAGUCGUUAUGUAAAGCUCUAUCAGCAGGGAAGAAAAUGACGGUACGUGAGUAAGAAGCCCCGGCUAACUACGUGCCAGCAGCCGCGGUAAUACGUAGGGGGCAAGCGUUAUCCGGAUGUACUGGGUGUAAAGGGAGCGUAGACGGCAGUGCAAGUCUGGAGUGAAAGGCGGGGGCUCAACCCCCGGACUGCUCUGGAAACUGUACGGCUGGAGUGCGGGAGAGGUAAGUGGAAUUCCUGGUGUAGCGGUGAAAUGCGUAGAUAUUAGGAGGAACACCAGUGGCGAAGGCGGCUUACUGGACUGUAACUGACGUUGAGGCUCGAAGGCGUGGGGAGCAAACAGGAUUAGAUACCCCAGUAGUC
RNAcentral lists this ribosomal RNA (440 nucleotides) under uncultured bacterium. RNAcentral's name for it is "partial 16S ribosomal RNA". It matches the Rfam family "Bacterial small subunit ribosomal RNA", at positions 338 to 795 of the family's 1533-position model. The record is from RNAcentral.